RNAcentral lists this small nuclear RNA (23 nucleotides) under Arabidopsis thaliana (thale cress). Its description in RNAcentral is "snRNA_18687". The record is from RNAcentral. Lineage: Eukaryota; Viridiplantae; Streptophyta; Magnoliopsida; Brassicales; Brassicaceae.
AUUUGACUGAAUAGUUGACCCAA